CAGGGGUGGGGGAACCUGACCGCAAUGCCGCGUGAGUGAAGAAGGCCUUCGGGUUGUAAAGCUCUUUUGUCAGGGAAGAAACACCGGCUCUAACACAGUCCGGGAAUGACGGUACCUGAAGAAUAAGCACCGGCUAACUACGUGCCAGCAGCCGCGGUAAUACGUAGGGUGCAAGCGUUAAUCGGAAUUACUGGGCGUAAAGCGUGCGCAGGCGGUUAUACAAGACAGGCGUGAAAUCCCCGGGCUUAACCUGGGAAUGGCGCCUGUGACUGUAUAGCUAGAGUGUGUCAGAGGGGGGUAGAAUUCCACGUGUAGCAGUGAAAUGCGUAGAUAUGUGGAGGAAUACCAAUGGCGAAGGCAGCCCCCUGGGAUAACACUGACGCUCAUGCACGAAA
Molecule: ribosomal RNA, 395 nt
Filed under: uncultured bacterium
Lineage: Bacteria
Description: bacterial SSU rRNA
Rfam family: Bacterial small subunit ribosomal RNA
Source: RNAcentral